CGUAGGUGGCGAGCGUUGUCCGGAAUUACUGGGUGUAAAGGGCGUGUAGGCGGGACUGUAAGUCAGAUGUGAAAUUCCAAGGCUUAACCUUGGCGCUGCAUCUGAAACUAUAGUUCUUGAGUGCUGGAGAGGAAAGCGGAAUUCCUAGUGUAGCGGUGAAAUGCGUAGAUAUUAGGAGGAACACCAGUGGCGAAGGCGGCUUUCUGGACAGUAACUGACGCUGAGGCGCGAAAGCGUGGGGAGCAAACAGGAUUAGAUACCCUGGUAGUCCACGCUGUAAACGAUGGAUACUAGGUGUAGGAGGUAUCGACCCCUUCUGUGCCGGAGUUAACACAAUAAGUAUCCCACCUGGGGAGUACGGCCGCAAGGUUG
RNAcentral lists this ribosomal RNA (372 nucleotides) under uncultured organism. RNAcentral's name for it is "bacterial SSU rRNA". It matches the Rfam family "Bacterial small subunit ribosomal RNA", at positions 526 to 896 of the family's 1533-position model. The record is from RNAcentral.